This is a long non-coding RNA of Contarinia nasturtii (swede midge), 507 nucleotides long. RefSeq lists it as uncharacterized. NCBI's taxonomy places the organism in Eukaryota, Metazoa, Arthropoda, Insecta, Diptera, Cecidomyiidae. The record is from RefSeq and is a predicted model, not a curated record. The transcript has 3 exons.
AACUUCUGUUUGAAUUCUUACAUAUUUAUAAUGUGUACCGCUGAUAGAUUUUCUGGUGCUGAAAACGGCAGAUUCACGAACUCACGAACACAAAAGUAUGUUUAGUACAUGGACGAAGCAAUUUCCAAGGCCAAGUUUGGACUUUUCAACUAUGUUUUGAUUGGCGUUACUGUUUUAACUAUGUUUGCACCUUUAGUAGAGACCAAUGACAGGAUGUGAAGACUUCAAGUCUCAUUGAGCCGACGGUGGCGCCACCAAUUUCAAAGGGGACGUCAAUGUAAUUUAACAACUCAAAUCGAAACUAAACAGCGCGCCAAUUUUGAAAUUUGCUGUCAUUUCCUCCCAUUGGUAAAGACAAGUAGCAUGGCUUCCUUGCUUCUGGUUUUGUGUGACAUGCAUUUGACAUUGAGUCAAAAAGGUGCUUUAGGUUUUUGUAAAUAAAUUGUAGAUGUAGAAAUUUUGUAAAUAAAUAAAAUGGACUACAACGGAGCAUCACGUGAAUUUAUA